This is a long non-coding RNA of Papio anubis (olive baboon), 1756 nucleotides long. The record is from Ensembl. NCBI's taxonomy places the organism in Eukaryota, Metazoa, Chordata, Mammalia, Primates, Cercopithecidae.
AUGUCUGACUGCAUGCACCCCCCGACUGUGCAUGGGACCCCUGCUGGGCCUGCUAGAAACCAUUUCCCCAGGAGCUGGGAACUGACGAGGCUGAGAAGAGUGACUGAGAGAGAAGAGUUUAUCCAUUCUGGAGAAAGGGGCUCUGUGCCCCACUUCCUCACCAGAGUCCUGAGCGGACAGCAAGACCCAGGAGCAAUGGAGGACUGAAGAGCAGGGAAAAUGUAUGCCUCUUUCCCACACAGAGCUGAGGAAAGUGACCGAUCUCCUCUAGGGUGUGCUGCCUGGUGCCGCACAGCAAUGGCGAACUCAACAUGCUGGCCAUGCCCUUAGGAGUCACAGGGGAGCAUCAGAAGAGCCGGAUGAAAAUGCACAAAUGGGCACAGGGUCCCCUAGCAGCAGCAUCCUGUGUGUCUCCAUGACUGACAAUCUUUGAGACAUGGGAGUAAUCAUUUCCUCUGUGGACAGAUGAAUUCACUUCUAGGUGUCUCCCCCUGCUUCCCCAUCUCCUAUACACAAGACGAUGCACGCACUCACAUCCUGGGUACUACACAAACCUUGGAACUUGGACAUGAAGGGAAACGUCUGAGAGAAACCAGAGUUAACUGAGAUGAGUUUCCCACCACUUCACUGCCUGGGGUUUUAAUUGUUAGAGAAACAUAAAGACAAUGAUAAUUUUAAAGAGUAUUUAUUAUCCAUCAACUGAUAAAUGGACUAACAAAAUGUGGCAUAUUCAUAUUUAAUGAUAAUUGUUUUAAAGAUUUAUUUUUUAAGAGCAGUUUUAGGUUCACAGCAAAAUUCAGCAGAAGCUUCAGAGAUUUUUCACAUAAUCCUCCCCCCACACAUUCUGAGCUUCUUCCCACACUGACCUCCCCGACCAGAAUGUAUACGUACUGAAACAUCACAUAUCUAUUUACCACGUGAAUUUGUACAGGUAUUAUUUAUUAAUUAAAAAUGAAUUUAAAAAACAAAACAAAAAAGAAAAGAAAUUGCUGAACCUACAUUGACACAUGAUUGUCAUCAAAAAGUCCAUAGUUUAUAUGAGGGGUCACUCUUGGUGCUAUGCAUUGUGUAGGUUUAGGCAAAUGUGUAACGACAUGGGUCCACCAUUAUAGUCAUCCAGGGUCGUUUCACUGCCCUAAAAAUCCUCAGCACUCCACUGAUUCAACCCUCCCUCCUCCCAACCCCUGGCAACCACUGCUCUUUUUACUGUCUCCAUAGUUUUGCCUUUUCCAGAGUGUCAUGCAGUUGGAAUUAUACAGUAUGUAGACUCUUCAGACUGGCUUCUUUCACUUAGUAAUGUACACUGUAAUUUCUUUCAUGUCUUUUUGUGAAUUGAUAGAUCACUCUUUUUAGCACUGCAUAAUAUUCCACUGUCUGCAUAUACCACAGUUUAUUUAUUCACCUACUGAGGGAUGUCUUGUUGGUUUCCUAGUUUUGGCAAUUAUUAAUAAAGCUGUUAUAAACAUCUGCAUGCAAGUUUUUGUGUAGACAAGUUUUCAACUCUUUUGGGUAAAUUCCAAGGAGCACAAUGGUUGGAUCCUAUAAGAGUAUGUUUAACUUUUUAAGAAACUGCCAAAGUGUUUCACAAAGUGGUUGUAUUAUUUUGCCUUCCCACAUCCCAGCAAGGACUUGGUGCUCUCGGUAUUCUAGAUUUUAGCCAUUCUAAUAAGUACGUAUUGGUAUCUUAUUGCUAUUUUAAUUUGCAUUUCUAAGAUCACAUAUGAUGUGGAGCAUCUUUCCAUAUGCUUAUUUGCCA